RNAcentral lists this small RNA (38 nucleotides) under Arabidopsis thaliana (thale cress). RNAcentral's name for it is "ATSL015440". Lineage: Eukaryota; Viridiplantae; Streptophyta; Magnoliopsida; Brassicales; Brassicaceae. The record is from RNAcentral.
ACAAAAUGUUCAUCUUCUCUUGUGUCUUUCUCCGAUCU